GUCUUCCUACGGGAGGCAGCAGUGAGGAAUAUUGGUCAAUGGGCUUACGCCUGAACCAGCCACGUCGCGUGAGGGAAGACUGCCCUAUGGGUUGUAACCCUCUUUUGUCAGGGAGCAACGCCGGCUACGUGUAGCCGGACUGAGAGUACCUGAAGAAAAAGCAUCGGCUCACUCCGUGCCAGCAGCCGCGGUAAUACGGAGGAUGCGAGCGUUAUCCGGAUUUAUUGGGUUUAAAGG
RNAcentral lists this ribosomal RNA (237 nucleotides) under uncultured bacterium. Its description in RNAcentral is "partial 16S ribosomal RNA". It matches the Rfam family "Bacterial small subunit ribosomal RNA", at positions 333 to 566 of the family's 1533-position model. The record is from RNAcentral.